This 756-nucleotide ribosomal RNA is filed under the name uncultured Shewanella sp. RNAcentral describes it as "bacterial SSU rRNA". It matches the Rfam family "Bacterial small subunit ribosomal RNA", at positions 335 to 1083 of the family's 1533-position model. Lineage: Bacteria; Pseudomonadati; Pseudomonadota; Gammaproteobacteria; Alteromonadales; Shewanellaceae. The record is from RNAcentral.
ACUCCUACGGGAGGCAGCAGUGGGGAAUAUUGCACAAUGGGGGAAACCCUGAUGCAGCCAUGCCGCGUGUGUGAAGAAGGCCUUCGGGUUGUAAAGCACUUUCAGUAGGGAGGAAAGGGUGGGUCUUAAUACGGCUCAUCUGUGACGUUACCUACAGAAGAAGGACCGGCUAACUCCGUGCCAGCAGCCGCGGUAAUACGGAGGGUCCGAGCGUUAAUCGGAAUUACUGGGCGUAAAGCGUGCGCAGGCGGUUUGUUAAGCGAGAUGUGAAAGCCCUGGGCUCAACCUAGGAAUAGCAUUUCGAACUGGCGAACUAGAGUCUUGUAGAGGGGGGUAGAAUUCCAGGUGUAGCGGUGAAAUGCGUAGAGAUCUGGAGGAAUACCGGUGGCGAAGGCGGCCCCCUGGACAAAGACUGACGCUCAUGCACGAAAGCGUGGGGAGCAAACAGGAUUAGAUACCCUGGUAGUCCACGCCGUACACGAUGUCUACUCGGAGUUUGGUGUCUUGAACACUGGGCUCUCAAGCUAACGCAUUAGGUAGACCGCCUGGGGAGUACGGCCGCAAGGUUAAAACUCAAAUGAAUUGACGGGGGCCCGCACAAGCGGUGGAGCAUGUGGUUUAAUUCGAUGCAACGCGAAGAACCUUACCUACUCUUGACAUCCACAGAAGACUGCAGAGAUGCGGUUGUGCCUUCGGGAACUGUGAGACAGGUGCUGCAUGGCUGUCGUCAGCUCGUGUUGUGAAAUGUUGGGUUAA